RNAcentral lists this ribosomal RNA (408 nucleotides) under uncultured bacterium. RNAcentral's name for it is "bacterial SSU rRNA". It matches the Rfam family "Bacterial small subunit ribosomal RNA", at positions 350 to 751 of the family's 1533-position model. The record is from RNAcentral.
AGCAGUGGGGAAUUUUGGACAAUGGGCGCAAGCCUGAUCCAGCCAUGCCGCGUGCAGGAUGAAGGCCUUCGGGUUGUAAACUGCUUUUGUACGGAACGAAAAGGUCUCUUUUAAUAAAGGGGGCCCAUGACGGUACCGUAAGAAUAAGCACCGGCUAACUACGUGCCAGCAGCCGCGGUAAUACGUAGGGUGCAAGCGUUAAUCGGAAUUACUGGGCGUAAAGCGUGCGCAGGCGGUAAUGUAAGACAGAUGUGAAAUCCCCGGGCUCAACCUGGGAACUGCAUUUGUGACUGCAUUGCUGGAGUGCGGCAGAGGGGGAUGGAAUUCCGCGUGUAGCAGUGAAAUGCGUAGAUAUGCGGAGGAACACCGAUGGCGAAGCAAUCCCCUGGGCCUGCACUGACGCUCAUG